AUACGUAGGUGACAAGCGUUAUCCGGAUUUACUGGGCGUAAAGGGCGUGUAGGCGGUCUUGCAAGUCAGAAGUGAAAUUCCUGAGCUCAACUCGGGCGCUGCUUCUGAAACUGCAGGACUUGAGUGCUGGAGGGGAUAGCGGAAUUCCUAGUGGAGCGGUAAAAUGCGCAGAUAUUAGGAAGAACACCGGUGGCGAAGGCGGCUAUCUGGACAGUAACUGACGCUGAGGCGCGAAAGCGUGGGGAGCAAACAGGAUUAGAUACCCUGGUAGUCCACACUGUAAACGAUGAAUGCUAGGUGUAGGGGGUAUCGACCCCUUCUGUGCCGCAGUCAACACAAUAAGCAUUCCGCCUGGGGAGUACGGCCGCAAGGCUAAAACUCAAAUGAAUUGACGGGG
This 397-nucleotide ribosomal RNA is filed under the name uncultured bacterium. Its description in RNAcentral is "partial 16S ribosomal RNA". It matches the Rfam family "Bacterial small subunit ribosomal RNA", at positions 523 to 918 of the family's 1533-position model. The record is from RNAcentral.